ACGCUGGCGGCAGGCCUAACACAUGCAAGUCGAGCGGUAGAGAGAAGCUUGCUUCUCUUGAGAGCGGCGGACGGGUGAGUAAUGCCUAGGAAUCUGCCUGGUAGUGGGGGAUAACGUUCGGAAACGGACGCUAAUACCGCAUACGUCCUACGGGAGAAAGCAGGGGACCUUCGGGCCUUGCGCUAUCAGAUGAGCCUAGGUCGGAUUAGCUAGUUGGUGAGGUAAUGGCUCACCAAGGCGACGAUCCGUAACUGGUCUGAGAGGAUGAUCAGUCACACUGGAACUGAGACACGGUCCAGACUCCUACGGGAGGCAGCAGUGGGGAAUAUUGGACAAUGGGCGAAAGCCUGAUCCAGCCAUGCCGCGUGUGUGAAGAAGGUCUUCGGAUUGUAAAGCACUUUAAGUUGGGAGGAAGGGUUGUAGAUUAAUACUCUGCAAUUUUGACGUUACCGACAGAAUAAGCACCGGCUAACUCUGUGCCAGCAGCCGCGGUAAUACAGAGGGUGCAAGCGUUAAUCGGAAUUACUGGGCGUAAAGCGCGCGUAGGUGGUUUGUUAAGCUGGAUGUGAAAUCCCCGGGCUCAACCUGGGAACUGCAUUCAAAACUGACUGACUAGAGUAUGGUAGAGGGUGGUGGAAUUUCCUGUGUAGCGGUGAAAUGCGUAGAUAUAGGAAGGAACACCAGUGGCGAAGGCGACCACCUGGACUAAUACUGACACUGAGGUGCGAAAGCGUGGGGAGCAAAC
This 745-nucleotide ribosomal RNA is filed under the name uncultured bacterium. Its description in RNAcentral is "bacterial SSU rRNA". It matches the Rfam family "Bacterial small subunit ribosomal RNA", at positions 33 to 773 of the family's 1533-position model. The record is from RNAcentral.